CCUACGGGAGGCAGCAGUGGGGAAUAUUGCACAAUGGGGGAAACCCUGAUGCAGCGACGCCGCGUGAGUGAAGAAGUAAUUCGUUAUGUAAAGCUCUUUCAGCAGGGAAGAAAAUGACGGUACCUGAGUACGCAGCCCCGGCUAACUACGUGCCAGCAGCCGCGGUAAUACGUAGGGGGCAAGCGUUAUCCGGAUGUACUGGGUGUAAAGGGAGCGUAGACGGCAGUGCAAGUCUGGGGUGAAAGGCGGGGGCUCAACCACCGGACGGCUGUGGAAAAUGUACGGAUUGAGGGCAGGAGAGGUAAGUGGAAUUCCUAGUGUAGCGGUGAAAUGCGUAGAUAUUAGGAGGAACACCAGUGGCGAAGGCGGCUUACUGGACUGUAACUGACGUUGAGGCUCGAAAGCGUGGGGAGCAAACAGGAUUAGAUACCCGGGUAGUC
Molecule: ribosomal RNA, 440 nt
Filed under: uncultured bacterium
Lineage: Bacteria
Description: partial 16S ribosomal RNA
Rfam family: Bacterial small subunit ribosomal RNA
Source: RNAcentral